GGUUAAGUGACUAAGCGUACACGGUGGAUGCCUAGGCAGUCAGAGGCGAUGAAGGGCGUGCUAAUCUGCGAAAAGCGUCGGUAAGGUGAUAUGAACCGUUAUAACCGGCGAUACCCGAAUGGGGAAACCCAGUGUGUUUCGACACACUAUCAUGUCAUGAAUACAUAGUGGCAUGAGGCGAACCGGGGGAACUGAAACAUCUAAGUACCCCGAGGAAAAGAAAUCAACCGAGAUUCCCCCAGUAGCGGCGAGCGAACGGGGAGGAGCCCAGAACCUGAAUCGGCUUGUGUGUUAGUGGAAGCGUCUGGAAAGUCGCGCAGCAAAGGGUGAUAGCCCCGUACACUAAAAUGCACAGGUCGUGAGUUCGAUGAGUAGGGCGGGACACGUGACAUCCUGUCUGAAUAUGGGGGGACCAUCCUCCAAGGCUAAAUACUCCUGACUGACCGAUAGUGAACCAGUACCGUGAGGGAAAGGCGAAAAGAACCCCGGCGAGGGGAGUGAAAUAGAACCUGAAACCGUGUACGUACAAGCAGUGGGAGCACCUUCGUGGUGUGACUGCGUACCUUUUGUAUAAUGGGUCAGCGACUUAUAUUUUGUAGCAAGGUUAACCGUAUAGGGGAGCCGUAGGGAAACCGAGUCUUAACUGGGCGAUUAGUUGCAAGGUAUAGACCCGAAACCCGGUGAUCUAGCCAUGGGCAGGUUGAAGGUUGGGUAACACUAACUGGAGGACCGAACCGACUAAUGUUGAAAAAUUAGCGGAUGACUUGUGGCUGGGGGUGAAAGGCCAAUCAAACCGGGAGAUAGCUGGUUCUCCCCGAAAGCUAUUUAGGUAGCGCCUCGUGAACUCAUCUUCGGGGGUAGAGCACUGUUUCGGCUAGGGGGCCAUCCCGGCUUACCAAACCGAUGCAAACUCCGAAUACCGAAGAAUGUUAUCACGGGAGACACACGGCGGGUGCUAACGUCCGUCGUGAAGAGGGAAACAACCCAGACCGCCAGCUAAGGUCCCAAAGUCAUGGUUAAGUGGGAAACGAUGUGGGAAGGCACAGACAGCCAGGAUGUUGGCUUAGAAGCAGCCAUCAUUUAAAGAAAGCGUAAUAGCUCACUGGUCGAGUCGGCCUGCGCGGAAGAUGUAACGGGGCUAAACCAUGCACCGAAGCUGCGGCAGCGACGCUUAGGCGUUGUUGGGUAGGGGAGCGUUCUGUAAGCCGUUGAAGGUGGCCUGUGAGGGUUGCUGGAGGUAUCAGAAGUGCGAAUGCUGACAUAAGUAACGAUAAAGCGGGUGAAAAGCCCGCUCGCCGGAAGACCAAGGGUUCCUGUCCAACGUUAAUCGGGGCAGGGUGAGUCGACCCCUAAGGCGAGGCUGAAAAGCGUAGUCGAUGGGAAACAGGUUAAUAUUCCUGUACUUGGUGUUACUGCGAAGGGGGGACGGAGAAGGCUAGGCU
RNAcentral lists this ribosomal RNA (1442 nucleotides) under Serratia marcescens. Its description in RNAcentral is "partial 23S ribosomal RNA". It matches the Rfam family "Bacterial large subunit ribosomal RNA", at positions 1 to 1488 of the family's 2925-position model. The record is from RNAcentral. RNAcentral also lists the same sequence under 1 other name. Lineage: Bacteria; Pseudomonadati; Pseudomonadota; Gammaproteobacteria; Enterobacterales; Yersiniaceae.